This 1636-nucleotide long non-coding RNA is filed under the name Daucus carota (carrot). RNAcentral describes it as "long non-coding RNA (DCAR_LNC005400)". The record is from RNAcentral. Lineage: Eukaryota; Viridiplantae; Streptophyta; Magnoliopsida; Apiales; Apiaceae.
GAAUAUGUCUUAUAAUAGUAUUAAAAUUAAAAUACGUGCUAAGCAGCAGAAAAAACUGUAAACUACCGAGAGGGAUAACGAUCAUUUCUCAGUCCAUGCUCGGCUCCUUCAAUCUUCCCCACGCUGAAGCACCGGUUUCGCGAUGAUCAAGAGAAGCGAAUUUAUAUGAUUUUCAAUACAGCUUCAGACCUUAUUCCCCCUCCACGCAAACUAGGGAUUUCCAUCCAUUUCAGCCAUAUCCCCGUGCCAAAUUGAGAGCAGAAAGCAACCAUAAACACUGACCGCUCCGCGCCCCACUUCAUUUUGGUCCGGUCUGGCUUCAGCUUCAUUCUAAAUCAACGCCAAUUUCAUUGUGUUCGAUUGGAGGCGCGCUCGGUGCAUCAACAGGCCUUCUGUAUUUUGGCGAGGGCUUAUCCGAUGAUGGUGAUGAUUGCGACGCACAAUCUGGUGAUCUUUGUAUCUAAUUAUGAUUUGUUAUUUAUUUCAGAACUUUUAAGGUUUGAGGCCAUUUUCGACCACUCAAACUGUUUGGUUUUGGUUCUAAUAGAAUUUGUGCAUUGUUACCUAUUGUAAGAUAUACAAGUAUGCAAUGGGCUGAUUUCUGUUUCUCGUUCAUUUCCGCGUCUAUAUCUAUAUGUAUCUAUCUCAUUAUUUGAGAUCUGUCAAUUCUUCAUUUUGUGUGCUUUUUCUGUUUAUAUGUUCAGUUCUCGGCACUAGAUGUGUGGAUUUUUGUUGUUUUUUUUGUGUGAAUUAGGGUUUUGUGUGAUAUGAACGUGUUGUUUUUGUAUAUGUGUCUGGUUGAUUUGUGCUUGUGAUUUAUUUGUGUUGUGAAUGUUAAUUUCAGAACCAACUGAAUUCAGAAUUGUAUAGUUGUAAUUGGUAAUUUGGAUGGGAUUCAGUAUUGAUAUGUAUUUUAAAAUGGAUUAUUGAUAUGCAUAUGAGCAAAGAGUCGAGACUUGGUUCUCAUUCGACGUUGGUUCUCACGAGAACACAACAAGAUAUACGUUCACACACAAGCACACAGACGCAAAAAGUAAACUAUCUAACGGACCCGGAAAUAUUGGUCUUCCCAUUUGAGGGGGGAGUAGUUGAUAUAAAUUUGUGUUCAUAUCUGCCUUAGUUUCGAGUGGUUUUCACUCACAAGCUUACAUGUGAGCUAUUGCUAUGUGGUAGUACUUCCACAUUCUAGUGGAGAUUUUUUAUCACUGAAGCACCUAAAUUUAUCUUUAAGCCAUUUUUAUAAACUGACAACCAAUUGUCUAAUCUAAAAGCUGUUACCGGAAAAAGAAUGAGUGAGCAUAAACACUUCUUAAUUGUCAGGGCCUUUUGUACAAUCAGCCGUCCGAAAAAUUUGUAUUGGGGGAUCAAAAGGGUCAAUUGCAAAUGACAUGUUACUAAUAAGGUAGCAUAGAUGCAACCCUCUUGUGACAGAUAGUUUAGCAAGAUGCUUUUCUAUGAUAAUUGUGACUUUUCUAUACCUUAAUUUUAAUGUUUGGAUAUUGUAUUGUUAAUAAAUUUAUUUUCUUUGUGAGUGGUACAUUUUUAAAUAUAUUUAGCUUGUUUAAAACUAGAUUUGUUACUCAAUGCAUCGGUUUAUGAUUACAGAACUGGUGGAUUAGUGGCGGCUUAGAAAACA